Molecule: transfer RNA, 79 nt
Filed under: Angustibacter aerolatus
Lineage: Bacteria; Bacillati; Actinomycetota; Actinomycetes; Kineosporiales; Kineosporiaceae
Description: tRNA-Met
Rfam family: tRNA
About the family: Transfer RNA (tRNA) molecules are approximately 80 nucleotides in length. Their secondary structure includes four short double-helical elements and three loops (D, anti-codon, and T loops).
Source: RNAcentral
CGCGGGGUGGAGCAGGCUCGGUAGGCUCGCUGGGCUCAUAACCCAGAGGUCGCAGGUUCAAAUCCUGCCCCCGCUACCA